RNAcentral lists this long non-coding RNA (1102 nucleotides) under Sarcophilus harrisii (Tasmanian devil). RNAcentral's name for it is "lncRNA (ENSSHAG00000027788.1)". The record is from RNAcentral. Lineage: Eukaryota; Metazoa; Chordata; Mammalia; Dasyuromorphia; Dasyuridae.
GCAAGGGACUCCGCUUAACUCUCGGGCCUCAGUUUCCUCCUCUUGACAAUGGAGGGGAUGCAACUUCUUGACCCCCGAGGUGCGUCGGUCCCCGAUCUAGGCCACUACAGACGCGUGACCCCGGCAGCCGCCACUAGACCGUUAGGAGAGACGGGGGAACCAAAGCAGCGAUCGCGAGACCCGAGAGAUGAGAGGGGCCGUUAAGGAGACCUGGGCUGCAGGGAGAGACCGAGGAGCCGGCCCAGUUCCCUUGUGUUCCACGGGAAGGCUGCGCCCAGCCCAGAGAGUAGCGUCCUCGGGUCUCCGGGGAGCAGACGCUGCCCCGUCACUUCGAGUCAACAGCAUGGACGCCAGCUCAUGGGUCACGGAAAAGCAGCUGCGAGGAGCCUCAUGUUACAAAGGAAAAGUGUCUCGGCCUUAGUUCUGCCAGGGGCCGAAAAAGAAAGAAAAGGAAAGAAGAAAGAAAAAACAGAUCAGAGAAAGAACAGACACCCCCCGUCCCACUCUGACAUUCUUCAAGGGUCUCCCGAGAGCCUGUGUCCAGGAGCCCAGUUCCCUGCCCCCAUCUUGUAUUUCAAAGCCUGGUUUUUCACUACAGGACAACUUCUGAAACAUAAACCCUAAAUGUCCUAUUAUUCUUUAUUUGAAUAAUCUUGGCCAAAUUCUGUUAACGUAACAUGAAGUGGAAAUGACAGCUAAGGUUCCUUCAGCCUCAAAUAAUAAGAAUCCAUUUUUUUUUUUUGUCCGAGUGAAGGUUCUGUAAAUUGAAUCCUAACUUGACCUUGUUUUACCAGGCAAGUUAGAUUUGUCCUCGAUCGACUUAUAUCUGGUGAAUUUUUUAAUGAUCGGGUCAAUGGUCUGUAUGUUAAUUCCAGCUUCCCUUUGCUUCACAUUAUAAUUUUGGAAGCUUUUGCUUUUUUUUUUUAAUGCUCCAUCUGUGGAGUGCAUGACUUGAAUCCGACUUUCCUCUUACCUUGUCGCUGGAUUGCGAAAACUAAUACUAGCUGGUAUUUGUGUUGUAUUACGAACAUUAUCUCAUUUUGUCUUUGCCACAACCUUGGGAUCCAAUUACAAGAAAAACAAGAAAAUUGAGGUUAAGUGC